AAAUGAAUAGACGGGGACCCGCACAAGCGGUGGAGCAUGUGGUUUAAUUCGAAGCAACGCGAAGAACCUUACCAAGUCUUGACAUCCCAAUGACCUAGUAUGUAAUGUACUAUCUCUUCGGAGCAUUGGUGACAGGUGGUGCAUGGUUGUCGUCAGCUCGUGUCGUGAGAUGUUGGGUUAAGUCCCGCAACGAGCGCAACCCUUAUCUUUAGUAGCCAGCGGUUCGGCCGGGCACUCUAGAGAGACUGCCAGGGAUAACCUGGAGGAAGGUGGGGAUGACGUCAAAUCAUCAUGCCCCUUAUGACUUGGGCUACACACGUGCUACAAUGGCGUAAACAAAGGGAAGCGAAGCCGUGAGGUGGAGCAAAUCCCAAAAAUAACGUCUCAGUUCGGAUUGUAGUCUGCAACUCGACUACAUGAAGCUGGAAUCGCUAGUAAUCGCGAAUCAGAAUGUCGCGGUGAAUACGUUCCCGGGUCUUGUACACACCGCCCGU
Molecule: ribosomal RNA, 494 nt
Filed under: uncultured bacterium
Lineage: Bacteria
Description: bacterial SSU rRNA
Rfam family: Bacterial small subunit ribosomal RNA
Source: RNAcentral